Molecule: ribosomal RNA, 942 nt
Filed under: Triticum aestivum (bread wheat)
Lineage: Eukaryota; Viridiplantae; Streptophyta; Magnoliopsida; Poales; Poaceae
Description: partial small subunit ribosomal RNA
Source: RNAcentral
AUGCAUAUCCUUCACCGACACCAACGGCGGCAGCCGCCGUCGUUCAUCGGAACGACCGGGCUAGAGGCGCGCGAGGGUGCGGAGGUCGACGGGGUGCACGUCGGAGGCGAGCCGGGCGACGUAGGCCCGCUGGCCGACGAGCACGUUGGCGGCCUCGGUGGGGUGGAAGGCGUCCCAGAAGAGGUACUCGUUGCGGUUGGGGCAGGGCGUCUGGAACGGCAGGCAGGUGACCUGCCCGUUGUUCCUCCCGACGCCGCAGCAGCCCCGGUUGGUCACCUUCAGGCCGUGGCCGCCGGGCGCCCGGAGGAUGUCGGAGAAGAUGCCGUCGAUGUUGAUGUAGGUGAAGUGCGCGCCGGGGAGGAGGCGGUUGAACUGGUCGACCAUGCCGACGAGCCGCUGGUUGAACAUGCGGACGGCGACGUUGAUCCAGUCGACGCAGGCCACGCCGUUGGCGCUCUGCGUGGCCAGCUCGUUGGGGCUGCACCCGACCUGCCCGACGCCGAUGAGCGCCACCUUGCGCGCCCCGUAGCUGUAGAGCACGCGCAGGAGCUGCGUGUAGCGCGCCGCCAGGUCGUCGGCGUACUGUGCCGGCGUGUAGCGGCUCCCCGUGUCGUAGAAGGCCGGCAUGAAGUAGUUGUUGAGGUAGUCGUUGCUGCCCAUGCCGACGGUGAAGAUGCACUGGCUGAGGUGGUUCGCCGCCGCGUCCUCGUCCCCCAGGAUGCUCACCAGCUGCUCCACCGCGCUCUGGUAGUUCUGCACCUGCCCGCUGAAGCUGAUGCGCCCACCCUCUGCUGCCCGGUCUCUUCCCGGAUGCCGGCGGCGGCGGAGGCGAAGUUGACGCCGGUGAGGAGCUGGUCGCUGGUCGCGCCGGCGAAGGGGGGGAUGAAGUCGUCGAAGCCCAGAAGCUUGGCUGCACCCAACGCAAAAACAGAGCAAGACUGA